GGAAAUUGAACGCGGCCCGAAUGGUGGGAUCCACAACCUUCAACUUUCUUCCCAACGAAGUAGUCGGUGUUGCUUUUCUAUCAAAUGUCGACAACUUGACAACUUCUCCUAGGAGGUUAUUGGCUCCCUGUUCAAUACAGAAAGAAUCUCUCCAUCUUCCCCAAUAUAUACUCACCCGCUCGCUCCCUCUCUCAUCAAACCCAAUCCCUCACCCACCUCUCGUCUAUGUCAAAGAAGAAAAACUGCCCCUCAUCGGUCGAUGAUCCUGCCGAUCCUUCCUCUGUCAGUAAGAACAGUAAACACCUCUCCUCCCUUUCAAUUUCAAACCUCCUGAACUCGUCUCGAAUCAGGUAGCGAAAGAAGAACAAGGGAGGCCUCGUGCCUUUCUUCCCUGUUUUAGGAAGAGGAAUGAAUUACAACAUCCCAUCGGGUGAGUCAAAUUUUACUUGUACUGCAACAUUUGAAUUUUCAUUUUUACGCCCUCGAUCUCCUUCUCUAACUGUCAUUUUGUUUUCUUAGUUAUGCUAAAUCCAAUCGCGGGGUGUUGUGUACACCGGAAGCUGGAUACGGCUUCCAUCCAACCAAUGAAGAAUUAGAUAAUUAUUUAUAAUUAUCUAAUUCUCAUUGAUUGAUAUAUAUCCGACCAAUGAAGAAUUAAACAAUUAAUUAUAAUUUUAUAAUAAAUAAAAACUUAGUUAUUAUUGUAGAAUAAAUAUUCAUGGUGUAAUCUAAUAGUCGAAAUAUCUUACUUUGUAUUUACUACAUUACACUGUCAUGCAACUUGCAAUUUUAGUGGAUUCUGUCAUCGUGACAUUUGCUUAAUUUUUCUUUUGAAAACUUGUUCCCUUCCUUGAGUUUAUUAGAAUGACACUUGAAUUAAAACAUUAAUUUUAAUGUAUGGUAUUGUUGAUAGUUUUAUUGCUCUGCAAAAAGAAAAGCAAAUCUCACUGUCAUCACACUAAAGUUUCAUGCUGGCAAGUGCAAAAAAAGAAGAAAAAAGAAUAU
This 1005-nucleotide long non-coding RNA is filed under the name Populus tremula. RNAcentral describes it as "long non-coding RNA (PTRE_LNC000924)". The record is from RNAcentral. Lineage: Eukaryota; Viridiplantae; Streptophyta; Magnoliopsida; Malpighiales; Salicaceae.